This 240-nucleotide long non-coding RNA is filed under the name Eucalyptus grandis. RNAcentral's name for it is "long non-coding RNA (EGRA_LNC007381)". Lineage: Eukaryota; Viridiplantae; Streptophyta; Magnoliopsida; Myrtales; Myrtaceae. The record is from RNAcentral.
UCACAUCACUACCAGGGACAAUUAUAUCAUCAUGUCUACAACAAGAAUGACCACUCCUGACUCCUUCUUGCAAGCAAAACCAAAACGAUUAGAAUAACACUGAUGGAAACAAUACCUCAAAUCGCUGAAUUGAUUUCUUAAACCAUACCCCUAAGCAAUAUACCCCGAAGGUUGCUCCAUGUAUACUUCCUCAAAUAAAUCACCACAAAGAAAGCUUUCUUCACAUCCAAUUAAUGUAAC